Long non-coding RNA from Gorilla gorilla gorilla (western lowland gorilla), 367 nucleotides. RefSeq lists it as uncharacterized. Lineage: Eukaryota; Metazoa; Chordata; Mammalia; Primates; Hominidae. The record is from RefSeq and is a predicted model, not a curated record. The transcript has 3 exons.
GGAAACCCUAGGCUGACGAGGAACCUGGAAGUCAAGAAAAGAAGAGUUGAAAUUGUGGGACCCAUCCACUCCUCACUAGAUUGUAUCCUCAACCCUAUCUGACCUUAUUGCUGCUCACACUCUAUGUCCCAGGAUGAACUCUCAAGAUCAUGGAGGAGUGUCCCCUUUGACCUGAAGCACCUGCUCAGCUGGGAACCAAAUUCAAGGGGGAGGUGACUUGGAUGCUGGCAAUUCUCGACCCGCCUCCCGAUAUACUGGGGAUUCAUGAUCCACAGAAAAAUAGAGAACACAGCCCUGCGACUAAAGCAACGCCACACAGACAAGCCAUCAAAAUGUUGAGAGACUCAAAUAAAGAAGCACUGAAGUG